ACCUGGGUGGCUUAGUCGGUUAAGUGUCUGACUUCAGCUCAGGCCAUGAUCUCACGGUUUGUGGGUUCAAGCCCCACGUUGGGCU
This 85-nucleotide transfer RNA is filed under the name Felis catus (domestic cat). It matches the Rfam family "tRNA". From Rfam's summary of the family: Transfer RNA (tRNA) molecules are approximately 80 nucleotides in length. Their secondary structure includes four short double-helical elements and three loops (D, anti-codon, and T loops). Lineage: Eukaryota; Metazoa; Chordata; Mammalia; Carnivora; Felidae. The record is from Rfam by way of RNAcentral.